This 94-nucleotide transfer RNA is filed under the name Anoxybacter fermentans. Its description in RNAcentral is "tRNA-OTHER". It matches the Rfam family "tRNA". Rfam says of the family: Transfer RNA (tRNA) molecules are approximately 80 nucleotides in length. Their secondary structure includes four short double-helical elements and three loops (D, anti-codon, and T loops). The record is from RNAcentral. Lineage: Bacteria; Bacillati; Bacillota; Clostridia; Halanaerobiales.
GCCAGAGUAGCGCAGUGGGUAGCGCGGCGGGCGCCCCGGAGAAAUUCUCCGACAAGAAAGCAGGUCGCAGGUUCGAAUCCUGCCUCUGGCACAA